CGCGUAUGCAACUUGCCCUGCACAGGAGGAUAACCCGUCGAAAGACGGACUAAUACUGCGUACACUCACUGGGAGGCAUCUCUUGGUGAGGAAAGAAAUUCGGUGUAGGAUAGGCAUGCGUCCCAUUAGCUAGUUGGUGAGGUAACGGCUCACCAAGGCGACGAUGGGUAGGGGAACUGAGAGGUUUAUCCCCCACACUGGUACUGAGACACGGACCAGACUCCUACGGGAGGCAGCAGUGAGGAAUAUUGGUCAAUGGGCGCGAGCCUGAACCAGCCAAGUCGCGUGAAGGAUGACUGUCUUAUGGAUUGUAAACUUCUUUUGUAUGGGAAUAACGGGGCGGACGUGUCCGCUUGUGAAUGUACCAUACGAAUAAGCAUCGGCUAACUCCGUGCCAGCAGCCGCGGUAAUACGGAGGAUGCGAGCGUUAUCCGGAUUUAUUGGGUUUAAAGGGUGCGUAGGCGGCUUGUUAAGUCAGCGGUGAAAUCUUGGGGCUUAACCCCGAAACUGCCGUUGAAACUGGCGAGCUUGAGUGUAGAUGAGGUAGGCGGAAUUCGUGGUGUAGCGGUGAAAUGCAUAGAUAUCACGAGGAACUCCGAUUGCGCAGGCAGCUUACUAAGGUACAACUGACGCUGAAGCACGAAAGCGUGGGUAUCAAACAGGAUUAGAUACCCUGGUAGUCCACGCAGUAAACGAUGAUAACUGGGCGUAUGCGAUAUACAGUAUGCUCCUAAGCGAAAGCGUUAAGUUAUCCACCUGGGGAGUAC
Molecule: ribosomal RNA, 767 nt
Filed under: uncultured Porphyromonas sp.
Lineage: Bacteria; Pseudomonadati; Bacteroidota; Bacteroidia; Bacteroidales; Porphyromonadaceae
Description: bacterial SSU rRNA
Rfam family: Bacterial small subunit ribosomal RNA
Source: RNAcentral